GACAGGGGAUGCAAGCGUUAUCCGGAAUGAUUGGGCGUAAAGCGUCUGUAGAUGGCUUUUUAAGUCUGCCGUCAAAUCCCAGGGCUCAACCCUGGCCAGGCGGUGGAGACUACUAAGCUGGAGUACGGUAGGGGCAGAGGGAAUUUCCGGUGGAGCGGUGAAAUGCGUAGAUAUCGGAAAGAACACCAAGGGCGAAGGUACGCUGCUGGGCCGAAACUGACACUGAGAGACGAGAGCUAGGGGAGCAAAUGGG
Molecule: ribosomal RNA, 253 nt
Filed under: uncultured bacterium
Lineage: Bacteria
Description: partial 16S ribosomal RNA
Rfam family: Bacterial small subunit ribosomal RNA
Source: RNAcentral